UAGUCUGGGAUACCACUUGGAAACAGGUGCUAAUACCGGAUAAGAAAGCGGAUCGCAUGAUCAGCUUUUAAAAGGCGGCGUAAGCUGUCGCUAUGGGAUGGCCCCGCGGUGCAUUAGCUAGUUGGUAAGGUAAAGGCUUACCAAGGCGAUGAUGCAUAGCCGAGUUGAGAGACUGAUCGGCCACAUUGGGACUGAGACACGGCCCAAACUCCUACGGGAGGCAGCAGUA
RNAcentral lists this ribosomal RNA (229 nucleotides) under uncultured Lactobacillus sp. RNAcentral describes it as "partial 16S ribosomal RNA". It matches the Rfam family "Bacterial small subunit ribosomal RNA", at positions 134 to 355 of the family's 1533-position model. The record is from RNAcentral. Lineage: Bacteria; Bacillati; Bacillota; Bacilli; Lactobacillales; Lactobacillaceae.